UGAAGAGUUUGAUCAUGGCUCAGAUUGAACGCUGGCGGCAGGCCUAACACAUGCAAGUCGAGCGGAUGAAGGGAGCUUGCUCCUGGAUUCAGCGGCGGACGGGUGAGUAAUGCCUAGGAAUCUGCCUGGUAGUGGGGGAUAACGUCCGGAAACGGGCGCUAAUACCGCAUACGUCCUGAGGGAGAAAGUGGGGGAUCUUCGGACCUCACGCUAUCAGAUGAGCCUAGGUCGGAUUAGCUAGUUGGUGGGGUAAAGGCCUACCAAGGCGACGAUCCGUAACUGGUCUGAGAGGAUGAUCAGUCACACUGGAACUGAGACACGGUCCAGACUCCUACGGGAGGCAGCAGUGGGGAAUAUUGGACAAUGGGCGAAAGCCUGAUCCAGCCAUGCCGCGUGUGUGAAGAAGGUCUUCGGAUUGUAAAGCACUUUAAGUUGGGAGGAAGGGCAGUAAGUUAAUACCUUGCUGUUUUGACGUUACCAACAGAAUAAGCACCGGCUAACUUCGUGCCAGCAGCCGCGGUAAUACGAAGGGUGCAAGCGUUAAUCGGAAUUACUGGGCGUAAAGCGCGCGUAGGUGGUUCAGCAAGUUGGAUGUGAAAUCCCCGGGCUCAACCUGGGAACUGCAUCCAAAACUACUGAGCUAGAGUACGGUAGAGGGUGGUGGAAUUUCCUGUGUAGCGGUGAAAUGCGUAGAUAUAGGAAGGAACACCAGUGGCGAAGGCGACCACCUGGACUGAUACUGACACUGAGGUGCGAAAGCGUGGGGAGCAAACAGGAUUAGAUACCCUGGUAGUCCACGCCGUAAACGAUGUCGACUAGCCGUUGGGAUCCUUGAGAUCUUAGUGGCGCAGCUAACGCGAUAAGUCGACCGCCUGGGGAGUACGGCCGCAAGGUUAAA
This 898-nucleotide ribosomal RNA is filed under the name Pseudomonas sp. HMSC066A08. RNAcentral's name for it is "bacterial SSU rRNA". It matches the Rfam family "Bacterial small subunit ribosomal RNA", at positions 1 to 898 of the family's 1533-position model. Lineage: Bacteria; Pseudomonadati; Pseudomonadota; Gammaproteobacteria; Pseudomonadales; Pseudomonadaceae. The record is from RNAcentral.